Molecule: long non-coding RNA, 1119 nt
Filed under: Junco hyemalis (dark-eyed junco)
Lineage: Eukaryota; Metazoa; Chordata; Aves; Passeriformes; Passerellidae
Description: lncRNA (ENSJHYG00000006333.1)
Source: RNAcentral
AUGAGGGCAACCCAAGGGUGUGGGACGCUCCAAAAUAUCUGUGGAUAUAUAUCUGAGGUGGCAAAAACACAAAAAGAAGAUGCGGAGUGCUGGCUCAAGUGGCAUUUGUUUAUUUGCAGCAAGUCAAGCCCUGGAUGUCCAGGGUGGGGAUCUGGUGGCUCUAUCCUGGGAGGUCACCAAAGCCUGCCUGGACACCCUGGGCCGAGCCUGAGUGUGGGAAUUCCCAUUUUGGGAGGGUGGGCUAUGUGUUCCUGCGCCUGGCAUGGCGCCGGCUCCUCCCUGAGGAGCCCGGGUUGUCCCGCUGGGACCUUGAAGCAUGUCCCUGGUCGUCAUUCCAGCUCCUCCGCUGCCUCUGACCUGUGGAGUGGUUGCGGGGCGCCCUUCCCUGGGAGGCUCUCCAGGAGUUCUGGCUUCUCCUGUAGGAUCUGCCCCGGGUUUGGCUUCUUGUCCCGUGCUGUUGCCUGGAGGAACCCCAGUCUUCCCUCUGGUGUCUGUCACUCCUCCUCAAGGGGUUGUCAUGGUUGGGCCUUGGACUGUGUCUGCCAUCAGCAUCCCAGCUCCUCCAGCGCCUCUGGUUUCUGGAGUGCUCGUAGGGCACCGUUCUCUGGGAGCCUGCCGGGGAGUGCUGGUCUCUCCUGUGGGAUCUGCCCCGGCUUUGCCUCCCUCUUGUGUGCUGUUGUUCGGAGGAAUCAGAGUCUUCUGACUGGUGUGUCUCACUCCUGUCUGAGGGGACAUCGUAUUGGGGCCCUGGGGGGUGUCUGUCAUCACCAUCCCAGCUCCUCCAGCGCCUGUGCCUCGCGGAGUGCUCGGGGGAGCCUGUCUGCGUGUCCUGCUCUCUCCUGGAGGACCCGUCCCAGCCACGGGAACGCUCUCUGCCCCUGCUCCACCUGCGCCGGCCCCAGGACCAUUCCUGCUGGCUCCAUGACCUGUGGGACCUGCGCCAGGAUCGCCGUCCCUGCGAGGAGACCGGGAUGGUCCAUUCCACCCUCGGAGUCUGUCCCUCUUCAGGUGUGUCCUCCCAAGCCCUCCUCUGGUGCUGCCACCACCUCCUCCUCGGGGAGUCGCUGCCUCGGCGGCGCCGGGACUGCCGGCGGCCAUCGCGGGGCCACCUCCCAGACC